GAUUGGUGUUAAUAAAGUUUACCUCUAGAUACCAGGAAGUCCUAACAAAUAUCAUAUGGGCUGACACGCAUCAAUCAUUCAGAGAACAGGUCAUUAACCAAUACACAUGUAUCUACCCACUGGUUAAACAACACAGCACAAAACAUAAUGCAAACAAAAACAAAAACAAGGUUCAUACAAGUAUGUAAGCCCAUAUAAAGUUGUUUUGUUUCCCCUGUUUUGGGUUGUUAUCUUUUUCUGUUUAUUUCACAUUACAAUAAAACAUUAUAUUGUAAGAACUAAUGUUAACAUGUCUUUUAUACUCACAGUAUAAAAGGCAAUAUGCAGUAUACAUUAGCUGUCCAGAAUAGCUCUCAUAUCACGCUAAGGCUGUUUGGUACAUAGGACCAUUCAACACUGGUCACUAACAAAGCUAACAAUCAGUACGGGGUAAGGUAAGCCAUAUGACUACGAAGGAAUCCUUAGAGCGCAUGUGAUGUGCCUCCUUGUUGCAGGCGGAUUUCCACAGCUCUUCUAUCUAAUGCUGCUUCCCGAAGGGUCCACAGUUAUGGCUCUCGGUUCAUCUAACGCCUCAGAAAUCAGCACCUUCCUGGAUGUGCCAUUAAGCCUAGCCACUUCAAUACGGUCAGUGCCUGUGUCCGUCCAAUACAGAUUGCGGGCUACCCAGUCA
Molecule: long non-coding RNA, 670 nt
Organism: Liolophura sinensis
Lineage: Eukaryota; Metazoa; Mollusca; Polyplacophora; Chitonida; Chitonidae
Exons: 3
Source: RefSeq, a predicted model, not a curated record